Molecule: transfer RNA, 66 nt
Filed under: Bundoksia longissima
Lineage: Eukaryota; Metazoa; Arthropoda; Insecta; Blattodea; Blattidae
Description: tRNA-Asn
Source: RNAcentral
UUAACUGAAACCAAAAAGAGGUAUAUUACUGUUAAUAAUAAAAUUGAAUUAAAAAAUCCAGUUAAG